GUGAAAUCCGCUUUCGGGCGGAGAGUAAAGUGGCGCACGGGUGAGUAACGCGUGGGUAAUCUACCCCGAGGCUCGGGAUAACCAACCGAAAGGCUGGCUAAUACCGGAUAAUGUCCCGUCAUAUAAGUGACGUGACCAUAGGAGGCUUAGGCUUCCGCCACGGGAUGGGCCCGCGUACCAUUAGCUAGUUGGUAGGGUAAUGGCCUACCAAGGCGACGAUGGUUAGCUGGUCUGAGAGGACGAUCAGCCACACUGGAACUGAGACACGGUCCAGACUCCUACGGGAGGCAGCAGUGGGGAAUAUUGCGCAAUGGGGGAAACCCUGACGCAGCGACGCCGCGUGAGCGAUGAAGGCCCUCGGGUCGUAAAGCUCUGUCAGGUGGGAAGAACCCUUCAUCGGCGAAUAACCGGUGAAGCUGACGGUACCACCAGAGGAAGCACCGGCUAACUCCGUGCCAGCAGCCGCGGUAACACGGAGGGUGCAAGCGUUGUUCGGAAUCACUGGGCGUAAAGGACGCGCAGGCGGUCCGGUCAGUCGGAAGUGAAAUCCAUCGGCUCAACCGAUGAACGGCUUCCGAUACUGCCGGACUUGAGUACGGGAGAGGAAAGCGGAAUUCCCAGUGUAGAGGUGAAAUUCGUAGAUAUUGGGAAGAACACCGGUGGCGAAGGCGGCUUUCUGGACCGAUACUGACGCUGAGGCGUGAAAGCGUGGGGAGCAAACAGGAUUAGAUACCCUGGUAGUCCACGCUGUAAACGGUGA
Molecule: ribosomal RNA, 760 nt
Filed under: uncultured bacterium
Lineage: Bacteria
Description: bacterial SSU rRNA
Rfam family: Bacterial small subunit ribosomal RNA
Source: RNAcentral